CUUGCCAAAUUUUCUGUAGCUUUCCUUCUCUAGCACGGCAACAUUAGAUCUCCAUCUAAUCUCCAUCUAUUAUGUUGUAGCUUUCCUUCCCUAGCACGAUAAUGGCUAAUCUCCAUGAAGGAGGAGAAGAUCGCAGAGGACGGCCCUAAUCCAGUCCACCAACACAUCUAAUUUUGUGGAUGCCAUGGAUGCAAGGACAUGCAAAUUUCUGUAGCCUUCCUUCUCUAGCACGUAUCCUCAAUCUUAUUCUCCCUCACGAGUUGAGUUCAAUCCGAGAAACCUGUGCUGGAAGAAGGCCUAGAUUGCAGACAACGGCCCUGAUCAAGUCCACCAGCACAUCUACUUUGGUGGAUCUUCUCAAAAAAAAUCUACUUUGGUGGAAGCGAUGGAUGCAAGGACAUGCAUGUACGGAUGAUACAUGACCAGCAAGGGUGUUCAUGGGGUGGCGCAUACUUUACCCGUAGUGAUACAUGCUGCUUUUUUAGGAUGCAGAAAAUUGCCGAUGUAUUAUGUUACAGCAAACCCAUUGUUUUGUUAACGAGGGGAUCACCUAUUUUUAAACAUGUGUACAUAAUUUCUCUAUUUGUAUUUCUUUAAUUUAUCUCCAAGAUCCUCAAAAUAUUUAUAUAUUUCUACUAGCAAAAUGAAACCAGGAGUGCUGCAUACUAAAUGUAGAAUUUUGCCAAGUUCUGGUAAGUUAUUCAUUUGGCUGCUAUACAUGUGGAUGAUGACCUUUUUCUACUCC
This is a long non-coding RNA of Hordeum vulgare subsp. vulgare (domesticated barley), 745 nucleotides long. RefSeq lists it as uncharacterized. The transcript is spliced from 3 exons. Lineage: Eukaryota; Viridiplantae; Streptophyta; Magnoliopsida; Poales; Poaceae. The record is from RefSeq and is a predicted model, not a curated record.